UACAGAGGUGGCAAGCGUUGUUCGGAAUUACUGGGCGUAAAGCGCGCGCAGGCGGUCCUUUAAGUCUGAUGUGAAAGCCCACGGCUCAACCGUGGAGGGUCAUUGGAAACUGGGGGACUUGAGUACAGAAGAGAAGAGUGGAAUUCCACGUGUAGCGGUGAAAUGCGUAGAGAUGUGGAGGAACACCAGUGGCGAAGGCGACUCUUUGGUCUGUAACUGACGCUGAGGCGCGAAAGCGUGGGGAGCAAACAGG
This 253-nucleotide ribosomal RNA is filed under the name uncultured bacterium. RNAcentral's name for it is "partial 16S ribosomal RNA". It matches the Rfam family "Bacterial small subunit ribosomal RNA", at positions 524 to 776 of the family's 1533-position model. The record is from RNAcentral.